UACAGAGGAUGCAAGCGUUAUCCGGAAUGAUUGGGCGUAAAGCGUCUGUAGGUGGCUUUUUAAGUCCGCCGUCAAAUCCCAGGGCUCAACUCUGGACAGGCGGUGGAAACUACCAAGCUGGAGUACGGUAGGGGCAGAGGGAAUUCCUAGUGUAGAGGUGAAAUUCGUAGAUAUUAGGAAGAACACCGGUGGCGAAGGCGGCCCACUGGCUCGAUACUGACGCUGAGGUGCGAAAGCGUGGGGAGCAAACAGG
Molecule: ribosomal RNA, 253 nt
Filed under: uncultured bacterium
Lineage: Bacteria
Description: partial 16S ribosomal RNA
Rfam family: Bacterial small subunit ribosomal RNA
Source: RNAcentral